CCCAGUUUCAGCUGAGCAUGCAAAGCUUCCUCUAUAUGGAAAUGACCUGUUUCCACUCAUCAGACGGGGGGUGAGAGUGACUGCAGACAUUCUGGGAGGACCGCUGUAUCUCUUCUACAUUCACACUUUUGGAAUACAAAUUCAGUUUUUCUGGAAACUAUUGGAAUUUAAAAUGUGUUAUAUUUCUCUGGUUAAAUUGAUCUGGUGGGAGUGGUGCAGCCCACGCUGAGCGUCCUCCCUCCCUCCAGAGUGGAGCUGGAGCAGGGCAGUGCUACACUGCUGUGUGUGGCCAGUGGGGGCUUCCCCUCAGACUGGAAGCUUGGCUGGAAGGUGGGGGGCAGCAGCAGGUCUGGGGGGGUGUCCGAUAGCCUGGGGGUCCUGGGGAAAGAUGGCCAUUACAGCUGGACCAGCACCAUGACCCUCCCUGCAGACCAGUGGAGGAAGGCGGGCUCAGUGAGCUGUGAGGCCAGUAAGAAUGGCCAGACGCAGCCUGUCACUCAAACCCUGAAUCCUGGAGAGUGUUCAGAGUAGAGAGGCUCCAGCAUGGAAGUACUGGAGAACACAGAUCUCCUCUGACACGUCUGCUUUAUGUCUCUCUGUCUGAGGUGGCAAUGCAGCUUUUGGAUGAAUUACAUUAAUAUAAAUUGUGUUUGAUUCAUUAACAUUAUGCUCUCUGGUUUGUACCCCUUGCUUUGUCACAUGUUGAACAUGUAAUAAAGACGUAAAUAAUAAAUUCUUUCUUGUCAUCA
Gadus morhua (Atlantic cod) is the source of this 749-nucleotide long non-coding RNA. RefSeq lists it as uncharacterized. Lineage: Eukaryota; Metazoa; Chordata; Actinopteri; Gadiformes; Gadidae. The record is from RefSeq and is a predicted model, not a curated record. The transcript has 2 exons.